Molecule: ribosomal RNA, 496 nt
Filed under: uncultured bacterium
Lineage: Bacteria
Description: partial 16S ribosomal RNA
Rfam family: Bacterial small subunit ribosomal RNA
Source: RNAcentral
GAUGAACGCUGGCGGCGUGCCUAAUACAUGCAAGUCGAGCGAACGGACGAGAAGCUUGCUUUUCUGAUGUUAGCGGCGGACGGGUGAGUAACACGUGGAUAACCUACCUAUAAGACUGGGAUAACUUCGGGAAACCGGAGCUAAUACCGGAUAAUAUUUUGAACCGCAUGGUUCAAAAGUGAAAGACGGUCUUGCUGUCACUUAUAGAUGGAUCCGCGCUGCAUUAGCUAGUUGGUAAGGUAACGGCUUACCAAGGCAACGAUGCAUAGCCGACCUGAGAGGGUGAUCGGCCACACUGGAACUGAGACACGGUCCAGACUCUACGGGAGGCAGCAGUAGGGAAUCUUCCGCAAUGGGCGAAAGCCUGACGGAGCAACGCCGCGUGAGUGAUGAAGGUCUUCGGAUCGUAAAACUCUGUUAUUAGGGAAGUACAUAUGUGUAAGUAACUGUGCACAUCUUGACGGUACCUAAUCAGAAAGCCACGGCUAACUACGUG